RNAcentral lists this ribosomal RNA (253 nucleotides) under uncultured bacterium. RNAcentral describes it as "partial 16S ribosomal RNA". It matches the Rfam family "Bacterial small subunit ribosomal RNA", at positions 524 to 776 of the family's 1533-position model. The record is from RNAcentral.
UACAGAGGGUGCGAGCGUUAAUCGGAAUUACUGGGCGUAAAGCGCGCGUAGGCGGCUUUAUAAGUCGGGGGUGAAAGCCUGUGGCUCAACCACAGAAUUGCCUUCGAUACUGUAGAGCUUGAGACCGGAAGAGGUAAGUGGAACUGCGAGUGUAGAGGUGAAAUUCGUAGAUAUUCGCAAGAACACCAGUGGCGAAGGCGGCUUACUGGUCCGGUUCUGACGCUGAGGCGCGAAAGCGUGGGGAGCAAACAGG